AGAGUUUGAUCCUGGCUCAGAACGAACGCUGGCGGCGUGCCUCAUACAUGCAAGUCGAGCGAGAACGGUUCCUUCGGGGACUUAUUAAAGCGGCAAACGGGUGAGUAACACGUGGGAAACCUGCCCUCGGGUUAGGGAUAAGCUUGCGAAAGCGAGUCUAAUACCGAAUAACACCAUUUGAUCGCAUGGUUGAAUGAUCAAAGUAGUGAUACGCCUGAGGAUGGUCCCGCGCCCCAUUAGCUUGAUGGUAGGGUAAUGGCCUACCAUGGCUGCGAUGGGUAGCCGGCCUGAGAGGGUGAUCGGCCACACUGGGACUGAGAUACGGCCCAGACUCCUACGGGAGGCAGCAGUAGGGAAUAUUGCGCAAUGGUCUAACGGCUGACGCAGCAACGCCGCGUGGAUGAUGAAGCUUUUAGGAGUGUAAAAUCCUUUCAGUGGGGAAGAAUGUCUCUUCGGAGGCUUGACGGUACCCACAGAAGAAGCACCGGCUAACUCCGUGCCAGCAGCCGCGGUAAUACGGAGGGUGCAAGCGUUGUUCGGAUUUACUGGGCGUAAAGCGCACGUAGGCGGACUGUCAAGUCGGGUGUGAAAACCAGAGGCUUAACCUCUGGCCUGCACUCGAAACUGAUAGUCUUGAGUACCGGAGAGGAUGGCGGAAUUCCUGGUGUAGCGGUGAAAUGCGUAGAUAUCAGGAAGAACACCGGCGGCGAAGGCGGCCAUCUGGACGGAUACUGACGCUCAGGUGCGAAGGCUAGGGGAGCAAACAGGAUUAGAUACCCUGGUAGUCCUUAGCGUUAAACGAUGGGCACUAGGUGUUGGCGGAAUCGACUCGCCAGUGCCGCAACUAAGCAUUAAGUGCCCCGCCUGGGAGUAACGGCCGCAAGCUGAAUUAAAUGUAUGACG
Molecule: ribosomal RNA, 903 nt
Filed under: uncultured bacterium
Lineage: Bacteria
Description: bacterial SSU rRNA
Rfam family: Bacterial small subunit ribosomal RNA
Source: RNAcentral